AGCCAGACGGCGCGCGGCGGGCGUAGGACUUUGGGCUUUCGCCUCGUCCUGCGCUUGACCCCAGAUGCGUUUCCAGAAGCGGGGCACCUGGGGACGCAGGAGUCUGGGAUCCCCGUCCCCCGAAAACGGACUUGGCUCCGAGAAAUCCUCCGCUUCGUGGGCUUCGCCCUCUGCAACUACCUUGCGCCUCCCUUGGCCUAG
Molecule: long non-coding RNA, 201 nt
Filed under: Homo sapiens (human)
Lineage: Eukaryota; Metazoa; Chordata; Mammalia; Primates; Hominidae
Description: non-protein coding lnc-EIF2AK1-1:1
Source: RNAcentral